Molecule: ribosomal RNA, 497 nt
Filed under: uncultured bacterium
Lineage: Bacteria
Description: partial 16S ribosomal RNA
Rfam family: Bacterial small subunit ribosomal RNA
Source: RNAcentral
GAUGAACGCUGGCGGCGUGCCUAAUACAUGCAAGUCGAGCGAACAGACGAGGAGCUUGCUCCUCUGACGUUAGCGGCGGACGGGUGAGUAACACGUGGAUAACCUACCUAUAAGACUGGGAUAACUUCGGGAAACCGGAGCUAAUACCGGAUAAUAUAUUGAACCGCAUGGUUCAAUAGUGAAAGACGGUUUUGCUGUCACUUAUAGAUGGAUCCGCGCCGCAUUAGCUAGUUGGUAAGGUAACGGCUUACCAAGGCGACGAUGCGUAGCCGACCUGAGAGAGUGUUCGGCCACACUGGAACUGAGACACGGUCCAGACUCCUACGCGAGGCAGCAGUGGGGAAUCUUCCGCAAUGGGCGCAAGCCUGACGGAGCAACGCCGCGUGAGUGAUGAAGGUCUUCGGAUCGUAAAACUCUGUUAUUAGGGAAGAACAAAUGUGUAAGUAACUAUGCACGUCUUGACGGUACCUAAUCAGAAAGCCACGGCUAACUACGUG